Molecule: ribosomal RNA, 484 nt
Filed under: uncultured bacterium
Lineage: Bacteria
Description: partial 16S ribosomal RNA
Rfam family: Bacterial small subunit ribosomal RNA
Source: RNAcentral
AUUGAACGCUGGCGGCAUGCUUUACACAUGCAAGUCGAACGGCAGCGCGGGCUUCGGCCUGGCGGCGAGUGGCGAACGGGUGAGUAAUACAUCGGAACGUGCCCAGUAGUGGGGGAUAGCUCGGCGAAAGCCGGAUUAAUACCGCAUACGACCUGAGGGUGAAAGCGGGGGAUCUUCGGACCUCGCGCUAUUGGGGCGGCCGAUGGCAGAUUAGCUAGUUGGUGGGGUAAAGGCCUACCAAGGCGACGAUCUGUAGCUGGUCUGAGAGGACGACCAGCCACACUGGGACUGAGACACGGCCCAGACUCCUACGGGGGGCAGCAGUGGGGAAUUUUGGACAAUGGGCGAAAGCCUGAUCCAGCAAUGCCGCGUGUGUGAUGAAGGCCUUCGGGUUGUAAAGCACUUUUGGCGGGAACGAAAAGGACUGUGCCAAUACCACGGUUCGAUGACGGUACCCGCAGAAUAAGCACCGGCUAACUACGUG